UAAUUGAAGAGUUUGAUCAUGGCUCAGAUUGAACGUUGGCGGCAGGCUUAAUACAUGCAAGUCGAACGGUAACAGGAAGGAAGCUUGCUUCCUUUGC
RNAcentral lists this ribosomal RNA (97 nucleotides) under Candidatus Anaerobiospirillum stercoravium. RNAcentral's name for it is "partial 16S ribosomal RNA". It matches the Rfam family "Bacterial small subunit ribosomal RNA", at positions 1 to 92 of the family's 1533-position model. The record is from RNAcentral. Lineage: Bacteria; Pseudomonadati; Pseudomonadota; Gammaproteobacteria; Aeromonadales; Succinivibrionaceae.